CUACAAUCCGCCCAACACAACCCCACAGUGGUUGACACCCUCAUAGCCCAAGAAGUGGAUGAGGGCUUUGUAUUGGGGCCUUUUAGAACUCCUCCAUUCACAGAAUGGCGCACCAACCCUAUUGGUAUUGUCACAGGGAAAUCUUCCCAAAAACAGAGACUCAUCAUUGACUUAUCGGCUCCCCACUCAUCGGCCAACCCCAGUCUUAAUUCCCUCAUACCCUCUGAGGAAUUCUCUCUGCAAUACACCACC
Molecule: non-coding RNA, 252 nt
Organism: Pelobates cultripes (western spadefoot toad)
Lineage: Eukaryota; Metazoa; Chordata; Amphibia; Anura; Pelobatidae
Source: the annotation of a GenBank genome assembly